This 508-nucleotide ribosomal RNA is filed under the name uncultured Glomus. RNAcentral describes it as "SSU rRNA". It matches the Rfam family "Eukaryotic small subunit ribosomal RNA", at positions 569 to 1078 of the family's 1831-position model. The record is from RNAcentral. Lineage: Eukaryota; Fungi; Glomeromycota; Glomeromycetes; Glomerales; Glomeraceae.
AGCAGCCGCGGUAAUUCCAGCUCCAAUAGCGUAUAUUAAAGUUGUUGCAGUUAAAAAGCUCGUAGUUGAAUUUCGGGGUUAGUAGGUUGGUCAUGCCUCUGGUAUGUACUGGUCUCACUGAUUCCUCCUUCCUGAUGAACCUUAAUGCCAUUUAUUUGGUGUUUUGGGGAAUUUGGACUGUUACUUUGAAAAAAUUAGAGUGUUUAAAGCAAGCUAACGCUUGAAUACAUUAGCAUGGAAUAAUGAAAUAGGACGUUCGAUCCUAUUUUGUUGGUUUCUAGGAUUGACGUAAUGAUUAAUAGGGAUAGUUGGGGGCAUUAGUAUUCAAUUGUCAGAGGUGAAAUUCUUGGAUUUAUUGAAGACUAACUACUGCGAAAGCAUUUGCCAAGGAUGUAUUCAUUAAUCAAGAACGAAAGUUAGGGGAUCGAAGACGAUCAGAUACCGUCGUAGUCUUAACCAUAAACUAUGCCGACUAGGGAUCGGAUGAUGUUAAUUUUUUAAUGACUCA